GAGAAGGGGAAGACUGACAUCUGGCCUUUAUUUGAUGGGGUUUACUUUUCCUUCCCUCCCCCAUGUACCUGCUUCCCCUCAGGGAGAGGAGCAUGUAGGACACUGAUUGGAGUUUCAGGAGGCCUGGGUUCUAGUCCCUGACUGUCACUGAUGCAUAGUGACUUUAAGCAAGUCACUUUUGGGCCUCAUUGACCCUAUGUGAAAAACGAGGACAUUUAUCU
Molecule: long non-coding RNA, 221 nt
Filed under: Homo sapiens (human)
Lineage: Eukaryota; Metazoa; Chordata; Mammalia; Primates; Hominidae
Description: HSALNT0266657
Source: RNAcentral